This 1244-nucleotide ribosomal RNA is filed under the name metagenome. Its description in RNAcentral is "bacterial LSU rRNA". It matches the Rfam family "Bacterial large subunit ribosomal RNA", at positions 1564 to 2817 of the family's 2925-position model. The record is from RNAcentral.
UGAAUACGAGAUGCUACGGCAUCGAAGCAGUCUAUGUCACACUUCCAAGAAAAGCUUGCACUGUCAUAAACAAAUAAUGCCUGUACCAUAACCGACACAGGUGGGUAGGUAGAGUAUACUAAGGGGCGCGAGAUAACUCUCUCUAAGGAACUCGGCAAAAUGACUCCGUAACUUCGGGAGAAGGAGUGCCUUAUUUUUAUAAGGUUGCAAUAACAAGAUCCAAGCAACUGUUUACCAAAAACACAGGUCUCCGCUAAGUCGUAAGACGAUGUAUGGGGGCUGACGCCUGCCCAGUGCCAGAAGGUUAAAGAAGUUGGUUAGCAUUAGCGAAGCUGAUAACUGAAGCCCUGGUGAACGGCGGCCGUAACAAUAACGGUCCUAAGGUAGCGAAAUUCCUUGUCGGUAAGUUCCGACCCGCACGAAAGGCGUAAUGAUUUGGAUACUGUCUCGGAGAGGGGCUCGGUGAAAUAGACUUGUCUGUGAAGGUGCGGACUACCUGCACCUGGACAGAAAGACCCUAUGAAGCUUUACUGUAACUUGAGAUUGAAAUUGGACUUUAUCUGCGCAGUAUAGGUGGGAGACGUUGAAAAUAUUCUUGCGGGAAUAUUCGAGUCAUCAGUGAGAUACCACUCUUAUAAUGUUAGAUUUCUAACUUUGUAUCAUUAUCUGGUCAAAGAACAGUCUCAGGCGGGCAGUUUGACUGGGGCGGUCGCCUCCUAAACGGUAACGGAGGCGCACAAAGGUUUCCUCUGAACGUGUAGAAAUCGUAUCUAGAGUGUAAAGGCAUAAGGAAGCUUGACUGUGAGACCUACAAGUCGAGCAGGGACGAAAGUCGGUCUUAGUGAUCUGACGGUGCUGAGUGGAAAGGCCGUCACUCAACGGAUAAAAGUUACUCUAGGAUAACAGGCUGAUCUCCCCCAAGAGUUCACAUCGACGGGGAGGUUUGGCACCUCGAUGUCGGCUCAUCGCAUCCUGGGGCGGUAGUACGUCCCAAGGGUUGGGCUGUUCGCCCAUGAAAGCGGUACGCGAGCUGGGUUCAGAACGUCGUGAGACAGUUCGGUCCAUAUCCGGUGUAGGCGUUAGAAUAUUGAGAGGAGCCUUCUUUAGUACGAGAGGACCGAGAAGGACAUACCUCUGGUGUACCAGUUAUCGUGCCAACGGUAAACGCUGGGUAGCUAUGUAUGGAGAGGAUAACCGCUGAAAGCAUCUAAGUGGGAAGCCCACCUCAAGAUAAGUAUUCUCGU